Molecule: ribosomal RNA, 540 nt
Filed under: Trichoderma harzianum
Lineage: Eukaryota; Fungi; Ascomycota; Sordariomycetes; Hypocreales; Hypocreaceae
Description: eukaryotic LSU rRNA
Rfam family: 5.8S ribosomal RNA (bases 159-312)
Source: RNAcentral
UGUGGACGUUACCAAACUGUUGCCUCGGCGGGGUCACGCCCCGGGUGCGUCGCAGCCCCGGAACCAGGCGCCCGCCGGAGGAACCAACCAAACUCUUUCUGUAGUCCCCUCGCGGACGUAUUUCUUACAGCUCUGAGCAAAAAUUCAAAAUGAAUCAAAACUUUCAACAACGGAUCUCUUGGUUCUGGCAUCGAUGAAGAACGCAGCGAAAUGCGAUAAGUAAUGUGAAUUGCAGAAUUCAGUGAAUCAUCGAAUCUUUGAACGCACAUUGCGCCCGCCAGUAUUCUGGCGGGCAUGCCUGUCCGAGCGUCAUUUCAACCCUCGAACCCCUCCGGGGGAUCGGCGUUGGGGAUCGGGACCCCUCACACGGGUGCCGGCCCCGAAAUACAGUGGCGGUCUCGCCGCAGCCUCUCCUGCGCAGUAGUUUGCACAACUCGCACCGGGAGCGCGGCGCGUCCACGUCCGUAAAACACCCAACUUUCUGAAAUGUUGACCUCGGAUCAGGUAGGAAUACCCGCUGAACUUAAGCAUAUCAAUAAG